RNAcentral lists this ribosomal RNA (502 nucleotides) under uncultured bacterium. RNAcentral describes it as "partial 16S ribosomal RNA". It matches the Rfam family "Bacterial small subunit ribosomal RNA", at positions 30 to 523 of the family's 1533-position model. The record is from RNAcentral.
AUUGAACGCUGGCGGCAGGCUUAACACAUGCAAGUCGAGCGGGGGAAGGUAGCUUGCUACUGGACCUAGCGUCGGACGGGUGAGUAAUGCUUAGGAAUCUGCCUAUUAGUGGGGGACAACAUCUCGAAAGGGAUGCUAAUACCGCAUACGUCCUACGGGAGAAAGCAGGGGAUCUUCGGACCUCGCGCUAAUAGAUGAGCCUAAGUCGGAUUAGCUAGUUGGUGGGGUAAAGGCCUACCAAGGCGACGAUUUGUAGCGGGUCUGAGAGGAUGAUCCACCACACUGGGACUGAGACACGGCCCAGACUCCUACGGGAGGCAGCAGUGGGGAAUAUUGGACAAUGGGGGGGAACCCUGAUCCAGCCAUGCCGCGUGUGUGAAGAAGGCCUUAUGGUUGUAAAGCACUUUAAGCGAGGAGGAGGCUACUCUAGUUAAUACCUAGGGAUAGUGGACGUUACUCGCAGAAUAAGCACCGGCUAACUCUGUGCCAGCCGCCGCUGUAA